RNAcentral lists this ribosomal RNA (407 nucleotides) under uncultured bacterium. RNAcentral describes it as "partial 16S ribosomal RNA". It matches the Rfam family "Bacterial small subunit ribosomal RNA", at positions 30 to 526 of the family's 1533-position model. The record is from RNAcentral.
AUUGAACGCUGGCGGCAGGCCUAACACAUGCAAGUCGAGCGGAGCGGCGGACGGGUGCGUAAUGCUUAGGACUCUGCAUGUUCGUGGGGGAUAACGUUCAGAAACGGGCACUACUACCGCAUACUCUCAGCUGAGCCUAUGUCGGAUUAGCUAGUUGGUGGGGUAAAGGCCUACCAAGGCGACGAUCAGUAACUGUUCUGAGAGGAUGAUCAGUCACACUGGAACUGAGACACGGUCCAGACUCCUAAGGGAGGCAGCAGUGGGGAAUAUUGGACAAUGGGCGAAAGCCUGAUCCAGCCAUGCCGCGUGUGUGAAGAAGGUCGUCGGAUUGUAAAGUACUUUAAGUUGUGAGGCGUUACCAACAGAAUAAGCACCGGCUAACUCCGUGCCAGCAGCCGCGGUAAUAC